This is a long non-coding RNA of Cucumis melo (muskmelon), 1390 nucleotides long. RefSeq lists it as uncharacterized. Lineage: Eukaryota; Viridiplantae; Streptophyta; Magnoliopsida; Cucurbitales; Cucurbitaceae. The record is from RefSeq and is a predicted model, not a curated record. The transcript is spliced from 3 exons.
AACCAUGGAGUUGAAGAGGCCACGUGGGAGAGAGAAGAGGACAUGAAGACCCAGUACCCAGAGCUGUUCGAGGAGUAGAGCUUUCGAGGACGAAAGCUUUCUAAGGGGGGAAGUAUGUAACACCCCAAUGAUCUCAUGUCGUUCAUUUUUUAAAUUCAAUUAUUUAUUUUUAUUUUAUUCAUCUAUUUGUUUAUAAUUAAAUAAUGAAACUUAUGUCAUCAAGAUGUGAAUUUUUCCCCUUUUAAAAUAUUAAGCAAAUUUCAACUUUAAUUAUACUUGGUAAUUAAAGAUUUAAUUGGUAUUUGGAAGUUGAGGGAAAGGAGGAAUUUGGGGGAAAUAUUGGUAAAUUAGAGAGAGAAGAGUGAAAUUUGGAAUUUAUUAAAGAAGAGAAAAAGAGGGGAAUUUAUUUUAUAAAAGGAAAAGGAAAGGAAAAGAAAAGGAAAAGAAAAGGAAAAGAAAAAGGAAAAAGAAAAAGAGAAAGAAGAAGAAGAAGCCGAGAAACCCUAGCCACGCCGCCGCCGCCGAGUCGACGCACAUCGUCCCAGCCGCGUCGGAGAUCAGGUCAAGUCGAGCCGUCGCACGCCAGCCGUCGCCCGAAGCCGCGUUACACCCGUGCCUGCGCCGCGCCGCAUCGAUCCGAGGGAGAGCAGCUGAAGCCGCGUCGCCGAGCCGCCCAGUCCCAUCGUGCGCAACCGCCAACCACUGCGUGAAGCCGCGCACUGCCAAGUCACCGACCCGCAGCAGUCGACGGCGUCAGCCGCGCGCCUCCAGCCGUGAAGCAGAACCCGCGUUUCGGCUGAUCUGCGCCCGCCCGUCGGCCCGAGUCCAAAACCGACCCGCGCCGCCCGCCGAACCCGAACUCCGCGCGCGCGCCUACUCCAAGCCGAGCCGCGCCUCCCUGCUGACGUGAGCCGAGCCGCUCGCGCAAGCCCCUUUCGCCAGGACUGAGCCGAGCCGAUUCUGUCCUUCUUCCAGCCGAGCCGCCAAGACAAUUUUGGCUCCUUCCACCUAGUUUUUGCAACUUGGACCAAAUAGCUGCUGCAGCUUAGGACUUCCUCAGUAGGAACUCAUCUAGCAACAUCUCGAGGUAGAGGACGAGGUAAGGGCAAAGGCAAGCUGGCGAGCGACGUGAAGUGACCGUGGCGAGCCAUAGGGGUUUUCCUGCUUCCGCACAUGUUUUACUUUACAGUUAAAUUCAUGUUUCGGCUUUCUGCAUAUUUACUUUGGUUAUUUUUGUAGAUAGGGCCCGCUUAGGGAUUUUAAACUUAACUCGUAUUUCUACAUGUUACCUUAACUAUCUUUCAUAAAUACAUUUGCUAGAUUUCUUUGCAUUUAUUUACACCAGAUUUUAUGACUUAAACACUGAUCCUAGAUUCAGUAACCACUUCGA